Molecule: long non-coding RNA, 1566 nt
Organism: Pecten maximus
Lineage: Eukaryota; Metazoa; Mollusca; Bivalvia; Pectinida; Pectinidae
Exons: 2
Source: RefSeq, a predicted model, not a curated record
UACCACUGUUUAUUUGGCAUUCCAUUCAUUUCAACAAAAACUCACACUUGUAAAUAAUAAAUUGUUAUAUGUCUUCAGUUAGUAUUCCUUAUGAUAUUUCAUUGAUUUGCAUUCAAAGCUAUUUCUUUAUCAAAGGUUCAAUCUAAUCUAAAUCAGAUGUUCACUAUCCUCUCCGUAAACUCCAUAACACAUACAGAGUUUACCCUAGAGAGGAUAGUGAACAUCUGAUUUUAAUUAGAUUGUCAAAGGUUAGGCAUUGUAAAAAUAUUUUCUCAUGUAAAAGUGAUUUACAAUUUCUAAUCCAGCAAAAACAAAAGAUUAUUGAGCCACCUAUAUACGUAUGUGGCCCCUUUGUGGCCUUUGUCCUGAUCUAAAGAAAAUUGGAAUUUCUAAAUACAUGCCAGUUAAUGAUAACAAAACAAAGCUGAUAGUAAAACAAAACUAUGAAGAGGGAGAUCAGCCACUGACUGGAUAGGAUGACAGGUAAAAUACAUACCCUGUACCAGUUUAUGCAACAUAUACAUUUAUUACAUUUAUACCAGUGAAAUAUCGGAAAUCAUUUAUUCUAUAAAAGUGGUAUUUUUCACAAUAUCACUUUUUCUGAUUUUAAAAUAUCACUGUUUUCUGAUUUGACCAAUCAAAACACUGCUUACAAACAACAAUGGGAGGAUUUAAAAGCUGCCCCGGUAGAAAUUGCUACCAAAAUGUAAUAAACAGAAUAUCUCACAAUAUAUAAAUAUCUUCAGUAAUAACAAAUAUAUUUCACUCGUGUGGCUAAAAUUUUGAUAUAUUUUUCACUCGUGCUGCAGACUCGUGAAAAAUAUCAAAAUAUUAGCCCACUCAUGAAAUAUAUUUGGUAUUACUGAAGACACUGUUAGAUACCCUCUGUAUUUAUCACAUAAUCCUUCUGUUAUCCAGUGAAUUCACCCGUGUAAUAUUUUUGCAUAUAUCACUAGUUGUGUAAUAAACCCUGACUCAGUCAGAAAUCUAUUGUCAUGUCAUAAUAUGUCAUGUCAUAAUAUAUAUUUGUCAUGAAAUGUGAAUGGGGCAACAAAAUGGCUGCCCUCCACAUUUUAAAUUUAAAACCCGUGAUGUAAUUUUUCUGAGUUAUGUGGAAAAAAAGUAUCUUAGAUUUGUUUUCAUUUUAUACGAGACUACAAGAAACUUCUUGAAGUUUGAAUUUCCGCUCAAAAUAGAAACUGUUCAAGGUCAUUUCAUAAAAUCUCAUAUUUAAUGAAAACUAAUGAUCAUUUAAGAUACUACAUAUCUUUCACUUUACUUUGCUAAAAAAAAUCAUACAUUUAAACUAAUGUCGACUGUUGCGAUCAGUCACUUUCACUCUAACGGCUGCAUAGUCUAAGAUUUCUUUAUCUCGGACACCUGACAUUUGACGUUUCCACAGAAAAAAUAUCUGUAUGUAGUAACACCCAAACAUUACUGUUUGGACCAGAGGAAACUGGUGACCUUAUAGUCAAGUAUGUAUAUUAGGACAAAAUUCAGGUGUGGUCUCCUAAUUACAAAUUGUAAAUAACAAAUACAAAAUAAUAUGAGAUUCAACAAACAUAU